This 253-nucleotide ribosomal RNA is filed under the name uncultured bacterium. RNAcentral's name for it is "partial 16S ribosomal RNA". It matches the Rfam family "Bacterial small subunit ribosomal RNA", at positions 524 to 776 of the family's 1533-position model. The record is from RNAcentral.
UACGAAGGGUGCGAGCGUUAUUCGGAAUCACUGGGCGUAAAGGGUGUGUAGACGGUUUAUUAAGUUCGUCGUUAAAGGCUCCGGCCCAACCGGAGUACUGCGAUGAAAACUGGUUGACUAGAGGGUGAGAGAGAGAAGUGGAAUUCCUGGAGUAGCGGUAAAAUGCGUGGAUCUCAGGAGGAACACCAAUGGCGAAGGCAGCUUCUUGGCUCAUUCCUGACGUUGAGGCACGAAAGCGUGGGGAGCAAACAGG